GGGGGGGGGGGGGGGGGGGGGUGGGGGGGGGGGGUGGGGGGGGGGGGGGAGGGGGGUGCUUGUCUGAUGGUAGCGGCGGACGGGUGAGUAAGACUUGGAUAAGCGACCUAUAAGACUGGGAUAACUUCGGGAAACCGGAGCUAAUACCGGAUGCUAUUUUGACUCGCAUGGUUCACAAGUUAAACACUGUCUUUCUGUCACUAAUAGAUGGUUCCGCGCUGCAUUAUCUAGUUGGUAAGGUAACGGCUUACCAAGGCAACGAUGCAUAGCCGACCUGAGAGGGGUAUCGGCCACACUGGAACUGAGACACGGUCCAGACUCCUACGGGAGGCAGCAGUAGGGAAUCUUCCGCAAUGGGCGAAAGCCUGACGGAGCAACGCCGCGUGAGUGAUGAAGGUCUUCGGAUCGUAAAACUCUGUUAUUAGGGAAGAACAUAUGUGUAAGUAACUGUGCACAUCUUGACGGUACCUAAUCAGAAAGCCACGGCUAACUACGUG
This 497-nucleotide ribosomal RNA is filed under the name uncultured bacterium. RNAcentral's name for it is "partial 16S ribosomal RNA". It matches the Rfam family "Bacterial small subunit ribosomal RNA", at positions 27 to 507 of the family's 1533-position model. The record is from RNAcentral.